UACGUAGGAAGCGAGCGUUGUCCGGAUUUACUGGGCGUAAAGAGCGUGUAGGCGGCUUCACAGGUCCGCUGUGAAAACUCGAGGCUCAACCUCGAGCUGUCGGUGGAAACCGUGUGGCUAGAGUCCGGAAGAGGAGAGUGGAAUUCCCGGUGUAGCGGUGAAAUGCGCAGAUAUCAGGAGGAACACCUGUGGCGAAAGCGGCUCACUGGACCAUAACUGACGCUGAUGCACGAAAGCUAGGGGAGCAAACAGG
Molecule: ribosomal RNA, 253 nt
Filed under: uncultured bacterium
Lineage: Bacteria
Description: partial 16S ribosomal RNA
Rfam family: Bacterial small subunit ribosomal RNA
Source: RNAcentral